UACGGGGGGGGCAAGCGUUGUUCGGAAUUACUGGGCGUAAAGGGCUCGUAGGCGGCCAACUAAGUCGGAUGUGAAAUCCCCAGGCUCAACCUGGGAACUGCAUCCGAAACUGCCUUGCUCGAGUAUGGGAGAGGGAAGUGGAAUUUCCGGUGUAGCGGUGAAAUGCGUAGAUAUCGGAAGGAACAUCAGUGGCGAAGGCGACUUCCUGGACCAAUACUGACGCUCAGGUGCGAAAGCGUGGGGAGCAAACAGG
This 253-nucleotide ribosomal RNA is filed under the name uncultured bacterium. RNAcentral's name for it is "partial 16S ribosomal RNA". It matches the Rfam family "Bacterial small subunit ribosomal RNA", at positions 524 to 776 of the family's 1533-position model. The record is from RNAcentral.